ACAAGACUUGAGACCUGAUAGAAGUUUGUUGAGCUCUUGUUGUCUGUUAGGGGAUGUGAGAAGGCUAAGAUCAACUUGUGGCACAGCCAGCAGGGGAGGAGAGGUAUUGAUUGAUCCUUGUGCAUAAAUAUACUUUUCUGGAACUUGAUUAUUAUUUGCUAGUUCUAGUACUGACUUGAAAACUAUUUCUUGUUGAGUUUCAGCCAUGGUUUUUAUUUUUGUAAGAGGCAAAUGUUAGCUAGUUGUACAUCUUAUCCUUUACUUCGUUUCUCAAUAUAUGAUAUAUCCAAAGCUAGGUGGGAUUUGUGGACUAAGACAAAUUCAGUAUCUUUUGGUUAGACUCUGUAUUUAUAUUAAAAAUUUAAUUAAAUAUAUAUGUAUAUUAACUUGUGAACUCUAACAAAAUUGAUUGAUGGUUUAAUGGUAAGAAAGAAACUGUGAAAAUGUUUUUCACGCUAGAGUUGUAAGUUCAAUUAAUUUUUGUCAUCUGCUAAUAGUUUAGUUCAAAAUGAUCUUAUAUGGGACAGUAGGGAUAUUUUUUAGCUAAACUAUUUUUUUUUAUGUAUUUCUGCUUUUAAAAUUAUAUUUAAGUAAAUUUGAGCAUAAACAUUAUUUCAAAAUAAAAGGUUUGUUUAAUUAUAUUUUUUAUAAAGAAUAUUUCGAAUAAUGUUAAAUAUAAUUUUUAAAAUAAAAAUGAAUUAGAAAACAAGUUAUAAACUGUUUUCUAAAUUUAAAAUGCAACUUUCAGUUGAAUUUAAAAAAUUUAUGAUGCUUUUUCAAAUAAAGUAAAAAAUUAUUGUAAUAAAAAUGAAUAAUUUGUAUGGUCAAAGUCAAAUGGAUCCUUCUAUACAAAACAGCCAAUUGGUCAUAAAAUUGGAUUUUUCAAUGGAGUGCUGCUCUAUUCUGUCGGUGUGUUUAUUUUAUAGAAAUUGUGGUGGAUAAUACAUAAGAAAACCCUCAAACAUUUUUUAUUUUUUUUAAUUCCUCUAAACUGAUAGUAUAAAGUACCAGUAGUAUUAAUAUCACCUUUUGUGGGGAGAGGAAAAAAGAAAAGGCCCACAUCACUCAUCAGUUUAUUAAAAAGUGUGUUACCGAAAAUCUAAUAAUUUUUGUACGCAUCAUGUAUUUGUAUUGAAAAAUUGAGUAAAUAAAUAAGAAAAAUGACUUGAUUAUGUGUUGUUGGUACAAUAACAGAUAAGAACCUUUUAAGUUUGCUGCCUUCUUGGUCCAGGGAUGAAUUUGAUCACCACAUAUUUAUUUUGUGUGUUCCUAUUAUUUAUUUUUUCAAUUUGAGAUAUAUUGGUGGAGCCUACAAACUUCAAAUCCUGAAUAUAACAACUCUGACCACAACAAACAAAAAUGAAGGAGAUAAGCUCUUAUGCUUCAUUGUUUUUUGGCAUAAUAUGUAAAUAUGUCAUUUAACUUGGUCUCAUUACACAUUUAUGCCCUCCAACUUUGGGUGUGCACAAGUAGAUACUCAAACUUAUAUAAAGUUGAACAAAUAGACACACACGUCCUACAUGACAUCCUUAACUUGGUCUCACUUCACAUUUUUGCCCUGCAACUUUAGUUUUGCAGGGGAAAAGGGUCAAAAAUACCCCUCAACUUUGUUUUAUUGGUUGACUAAACCCUUACCGUUAAAACGAGGUUAGUUUUACCCCUGCCGUCUACAAACUCAUCAUAUGUACCCUCCAAAUUAACGAUUUCCCCAAAUCAAUUCCAAAUUCUCAACUUCGACCCGAAUUAUCCCUUUAAAAACAAAUUAUCAAUUAAAUCCGACCCAUAACCCAUUUAAUCUGAUCUUACAUACCAAAUGUAUAAAAAAAAAAGUAAUGAAUUCACCAAAACCCAUUUCAAUUCCUAAUGAACAAAUAAAUUUCCAGCCAUUAAUGAGCUUUUAAGAAGCAAUGUUAGGAGCAAAAGCAGAGGAAGAAGACAUGCCAGCCUUAUGUUCAUACACAAAAAUAAGAACAAUAUUGCUAUUGAAAUAAUCCAAUAACCUUCUUCCCCAAAAGUCACUUGUAUAGAUAUAUUCACUAGUUCUUCAAAUCCGCCGCACACGACGGCGAAAAGGCAGUACUAGGCGGUCGAAUUCCACCAGAAAACAACAACAAGAAAGAAACUAAAAAGUUCAUGCUGCUGCAAUUUUGGGUGGGAAUUAUCUAAUUACACAAAUUCAGAUCUGUGAUUUCAGUGUGAAGAAAUGGGUGUGAUGUUUUCGAUUUGGGUAUUUUGGGGAAGAAGUUGAAAUUAUUGAUUUUUCGAAGUUGGAACUCGCUUGUAAAAUCCGAAAUUCAAACUCAAGCUCCAAGCUCCAUUAAUGGCUAUGAAGUUUCCAUGGUUGGUUCUUCAAGUUUCAGGCUCCAAUUCAAAAACUAGUACCCUUAGAAGCUUUUAACAAUGGCUUUGAAAAUAUUUACAGAAUGAGUAACACUACAACAAAUUCAAUGACAAGGGAGAAAUCCAUUCUUUUUAGUUUUGGUGGACUCAACAAGAUUGAGAAAAUUGAAAAUUAAAUUAAAUUUUGUUUAUAAUGGUGGUGGGUUUUAUAUGGGUCGGAUCAGAUUAGAAAAGAAUUUCAUUCUAAAUGAGUUUUAAAUGGGUAAUUCGGGUCGAAAUUGAGAAUUUGAGAUUGAUUUGGGGCAAAUCGUUAAUUUGGAGGGUACAUAUGAUGAGUUUGUAGACGGCAGGGGUAAAACUAACUUCUUUUUAACGGUAAGGGUUUAGUCAACCAAUAAAAUAAAGUUGGGGGGUAUUUUUGACCCUUGUCCCGUUUUGCAGAAAUAAGCACUUAAACUUGUAUAAAAUUGAACAUGUAUAAUAUUAAUAUAUUGAAAGCCAUACAGAAGUAUUCUGUUCUGUCGCAAAGCAACUUUCAGUUCAUCCUGUUUGGAAAUAUUGUGAAUGUGGUAUAUUUUGUAAAUGAAUAACAAUAGGUUCCAGAUCAAACCCCUAUUCAAGAGCUUGCAUUUCUCAAAGCAUGUUGAGCUCGUGUACAGCACAGGUAACAACGACUAGUAAAAAUACAAAUAGAGAAAAAAGAAGGACAAACAUACUGUCAGCGGGGGUUUGAUGGAAAAGCAAGAUUUGUUGGCAGCUAAUCUUGUUCUUGGCAUAUCAUUGCUGUUUCGAUUGGUCUUUUCCCGUGCUGAUAGCUUUGGAAGAAGAGUUCAACAUAAUUCUUAACGUCCUUAUACGCUCUUGGCCUUUCCUCAUUGAUAAGCUUCUCCACUGGUCCAAUCCCAACAGUUACAUCUGGCAUAAUGAAAACAGCAAGGGUGUUUCUUUCUCGUUCUGCAUUCGUCACCACCCUGUGCACGGGGCUCUUAAAGAUACCAUUGCUCAUUAUCUGCAAAGAACAACAAUCCUAAGAACUCUACAUGUUGUACAACAUUUUGUUGGAAAAUAUUAGAGAUGGCAACGCUAAGGAAGAAUAUUUAAUCAACAACCAGUUCAAGUUGCAACAAUUAAUCAUAAAAGGAGAGAGUCUUGAAUAAGAAAAAUCAUUCCGAGGCACGCUAUGGAAGGUUGAUCUCAGAAUAGAUUUCCCUUGCUACCUGAGUGCAAAUAGUACAGUAACGUCCUACUUCUAAAAUACAACGAACCAUCAUCUAAUGUACACUCAAAUAGAGUUCUGGGGAACUCAUGAAGGACAAAGGACGUUUGAAGGAGUUGAAAUCAUAAAGAGCCAAAUAAUGUUGAAAUCAUACCUUUCACUGAAGAGAUGAGUCCUUAUAACAACUGGAUACAUCUUUUCAGAUGUGUCCUAAAAAGAUUGAAUGCAUCUUUUCAUAAAAGAAUUGUGUCCAACCAAAAGACACAUUAAAUUUUGAAUCAAUUAAAUAAAUCCAACACAUUUGAAGCUCUUCGGCAUGAUUUAGUAUACUCUUUCUUACCUCAACUUGAUCUCCAACAUUAACGAGUAGACCAUAUGGGACAAUAGGCACUCUGAACCAUUGAUCAUCUUUGAGAACCUGAAGCCCCUCAACUUCUUUGUCUUGCAACAGGAUGGUAAUGGCCGAUGCAUCAGCAUGUGGUUUGACUCCGAGUACAACCUCAGGUGUUGGACACGGAGGAUAGAAGUUGAAUCUUGCAAUCAUAUCUCCGCGUUCUCCACACUGGUC
RNAcentral lists this long non-coding RNA (4124 nucleotides) under Solanum tuberosum (potato). RNAcentral's name for it is "long non-coding RNA (STUB_LNC010175)". The record is from RNAcentral. Lineage: Eukaryota; Viridiplantae; Streptophyta; Magnoliopsida; Solanales; Solanaceae.